RNAcentral lists this long non-coding RNA (10269 nucleotides) under Triticum aestivum (bread wheat). RNAcentral describes it as "long non-coding RNA (TAES_LNC027293)". Lineage: Eukaryota; Viridiplantae; Streptophyta; Magnoliopsida; Poales; Poaceae. The record is from RNAcentral.
UUUUUUUUUCUAGGUCAAAAUGACUUAAAUACCAUAAGAGGGGCACCGGAGGUGGGCUGGGCUGAGCACAACCCACCAGGGCGCGCCUGGGGGCCCUGGCGCGCCCUGGUGUCUUGUACUCACUAGGUGGCCCCCCUCCAAUAGUUGUUUGCUCCAUUAUUUCUUAUUUAUUCCAUAAAAAUUCCUCGUGAAGUUUCAGCUCAUUUGGAGUUGUGCAGAAUAGGUGGCCUGACGUAGGUUUUUGAGGUUCAGAUUUCCAGAUGUCGUAAUUCUCCCUCUUUGUGUGAACCUUGCAUAUUAUGAGAGAAAAGGCAUUAGAAUUACUCCAAAAAGCAUUAUUAUGCAUAAAAACAAUAUAAAUAACAGUAGGUAAACAUGAUGCAAAAUGGACGUAUCAACUCCCCCAAGCUCAUACCUCGUUUGUCCUCAAGCGAAAACCAAAAUCGAAAAACAUGUCCACAUGUUUAGAGAGAGAGGUGUCGAUAAAAACAAAAUACAAACAUAGUAGCAUGAUGUAACUUAUUAUCACAUCAAUAAACAUUAACAUAAAACUUUUAUCAUAGAACUUUUAUCAUAGACUUCUCAUGAACAAGUAAAAAUUCAUCACAACAACGAAGUAUAAAGCAUAAACUCUAUUGAAAACCAACAAACUAUGUUCUUAGUCAACUUUGCAACUACAAUUCAUCAUGUUUUCAGGAAGGGUCACGUAUCGGAGCCUUUUUGGCAAGUCCACAUACUCAUUCAUCAUAUAGUCUGCUAUGAUUGUUAACACUCGCUGCAUACACAUGAGCAAAACAUUUCAACUGGACACAUAGAAAGAUAGGGACUUAUAGUUUUGCCUCCCAACAUACUCACCUAGAGGGUGAUGUCAACAAUAAUAACUCAUGCUAGCCAUACCCAACUGGAUAUAUGUGCCUAGAUCUUUCCUCGCCACAUGAUGCUUGCCAAAAGAGAAAUAUAAAAAGGAAUAGAGAGAAAAACUUUGACUCUUGCAUGAAAGUAAAUACAUAAAACUAAAAAGUAGGCCCUUCGCAGAGGGAAGCAGAGGUUGCCAUGCGCUUUUUGGUUGUAUGCUCAAUCCCUUAAUGCAAAAGAACGUCAUGUUAUAUUGCCCCUUGUGAUAGCAACCUUUAUUAUGCAGUAUGUCGCUUUUAUUCUUUGCCAUCACAAGUUCGUACAACGCUCAAUUUUAUUUUAUACUAAAUGAUCUAACACUUUUAGAAUCAAUUUUUAUUACCAUAUUGCACCAAUGACAACUUACUUGAAGGAUCUUACUCAAUACAUAGGUAGGUAUGGUGGACUCUUGAAAAUAAGAUUUUGGUUUAAGGGUUUUUGGAUGCACAAGUAGUAUCUCUACUUAGUGCGGAAUUUUUGGCUAGCAAACAUGGGGAGCAAGCACCACAUGUUGAAGGAUCUAUGACAAUAUAACUGAUGACCCACAAGUAUAGGGGAUCAAUCGUAGUCCUUUCGAUAAGUAAGAGUGUCGAACCCAAUGAGGAGCAGAAGGAAAUGACAAGCGGUUUUCAGCAAGGUAAUGUCUGCAAGCAUUGAAAUUAUAAGUAAUGAGUUAAUUUGCAACGAGCAAGUAAUGGUAACAGUAGUAAAAGUGCAGCAAGGUAGCCCAAUCCUUUUGAGGCAAAUGACAUGCCAAACCGGUCUCUUAUAAUAAGCAAAGUGUUCUUGAGGGUACACGGGAAUUUCAUCUAGUCACUUUCGUCAUGUUGGUUUGAUUUGUGUUCGCUACUUUGAUAAUUUGAUAUGUGGGUGGACCGGUGCUUAGCUGUUGUUCUUACUUGAACAAUCCUCCUACUUAUGAUUAACCCCCUCGCAAGCAUCCGCAACUAUGAGAAAAGUAUUAAGAAUAAAUUCUAACCAUAGCAUUAAACUUUUGGAUCCAAAUCAGCCACUUACAGAAUAGCGCAUAAACUAGGGUUUAAGCUUCUGUCACUCUCGCAACCCAUCAUCUAAUAACUACUCCACAAUUCAUUCCCUUAGGCCCAAGUAUGGUGAAGUGUCAUGUAGUCGACGUUCACAUGACACCACUAAGGGAAUCACAACGUACAUACUAUCAAAAUAUUGAACACAUAUAAAAUUCACAUGAUUACUUGCAACAAGAUUUCUCCCGCGACCUCAAGAACAAAAGUAACUACUCACAAAUGAUAAUCAUGCUCAAGAUCAGAGGGGUAUUAAAUAGCAUAAUGGAUCUGAAAAUAUAAUCUUCCACCAAAUAAACCAUAUAGUAAUCAAUUACAAGAUGUAAUCAACACUACUAGUCACCCACAAGCACCAAUGUAUAGUUCCGGUACAAAGAUUGAACACAAGAGAUGACCUAAGGUUUGAGAUGAGAUGGUGUUGUUGAAGAUGUUGAUGGAGAUUGCCCUCCCCAAGAUGGGAGAGUUUUUGGUGAUGAUGAUGACAGUGAUUUCCCCGGGGAAGUUCCGCCGGCGGAAUCGCUCCACCGGAGGGCAAAAGUGCUCCUGCCCAAGUUCCACCUCGAGACGGCAGCGCUUCGUCCCGAAAGUACUCUCCUUAUUUUUUCUAGGUCAAAAUGACUUAAAUACUAGAAGAGGGGCACCGGAGGUGGGCUGGGCUGAGCACAAGCCACCAGGGCGUGCCUGGGGGCUCUUGCGUGCCCUGGUGUCUUGUGCUCACUAGGUGGCCCCCCUCCGGUAGUUAUUUGCUCCAGUAUUUCUUAUUUAUUCCAUAAAAAUCAUCGUGAAGUUUCCGCUCAUUUGGAGUUGUGCAGAAUAGGUAUCCUGACAUAGCUUUUUCAGGUCCAGAUUUCCAGGUGUCGGGAUUCUCCCUCCUUGUGUAAACCUUGCAUAUUAUGAUAGAAAAGGCAUUCAAAUUACUCCAAAAGCAUUAUUAUCCAUAAAAACAAUAUAAAUAACAGUCGGUAAACAUGAUGCAAAAUGGACGUAUCAACUCCCCCAAGCUCAGACCUUACUUGUCCUCAAGCGAAAACUGAAAUCGAAAACAUGUCCACAUGCUUAGAGAGAGAGGUGUCUAUAAAAACAAAAUAUGCACAGAGAAGCAUCAUGUAACUUAUUAUAACAACAACAUAAUUUAACAUAAAACUUUUAUCAUAGAAAUUUUGCCAUAGACUUCUCAUGAACAAGUAACAAAUUUUUUUUGACAGAAAGACUGUAAGGGAACCCCCUACAGUAAAAUUGGUGCAACAAACCCAAAUUGCAAGUACCAUGCCUUGAACCUGGGUGGGUAGGAAGGCAUCAACCCCUUCCCACCACUAGGCUAUGCCUUAGUCUGCAACAAGUAACAAUUCAUCACAACAUCGAAGUAUAAAUCAUAAACUCUAUUGAAAACCAACAACUAUGUUCCCAGUCAACUUUGCAACUACAGUUCAUCAUCUUUUCAGGAAGGGUCACGUAUAGGAGCCCUUUUGGCAAGUCCACAUACUCAACCAUCAUACAGUCUUCUAUGAUUGCUAACACUCACCGCAUAUACAUGAGCAAAACGUUUCAACCGGACACAUAGAAAUAUAGGGGCUUAUAGUUUUGCCUCCCAACAUACUCACCUCAAGGGUGAUGUUAGCAAUAAUAACUCAUGCCACCCAUAUCCAACUGGAUAUAUGUGCCUAUGAAGGUAAUAUGCCCUAGAGGCAAUAAUAAAGUUAUUAUUUAUUUCCUUAAUUCAUGAUAAAUGUUUAUUAUUCAUGCUAGAAUUAUAUUAACCGGAAACUUAGUACAUGUGUGAAUACAUAGACAAAACAUAUAGUCCCUAGUAUGCCUCUACUUGACUAGCUCGUUAAUGAAAGAUGGUUAUGUUUCCUAACCAUAGACAUGUGUUGUCAUUUGAUGAACGGGAUCACAUCAUUAGGAGAAUGAUGUGAUGGACAUGACCCAUCUGUUAGCUUAGCAUUAUGACCGUGUCAGUUUGAUUGAUAUUGCUUUCUUCAUGACUUAUACAAGUUCCUCAGACUAUGAGAUUAUGCAACUCCUGAAUACUGGAGGAACAUUUUGUGUGCUACCAAAUGUCACAACGUAAAAGGGUGAUUAUAAAGGUGCUCUACAGGUGUCUCCGAAGGUGUUUGUUGGGUUGGCAUAUAUCGAGAUUAGGAUUUGUCACUCCGUGUUUCGGAGAGGUAUCUCUGGGCCCUCUCAAUAAUACUCAUCACUAUAAGCCUUGCAAAUAUUGUAACUAAUGAGUUAGUUGUGGGAUGAAGUAUUAUAGAACGAGUAAAGAGACUUGCCGGUAACGAGAUUGAACUAGGUAUGAAAAUACCGACGAUCGAAUCUCGGGUAAGUAACAUACCGAUGACGAAGGGAAUAACGUAUGUUGUCAUAAGGUUCGACUGAUAAAGAUCUUUGUAGAAUAUAUAGGAACCAAUAUGGGCAUCUAGGUUCCACUCUUGGUUAUUGACCAGAAAAGUGUCUCGGUCAUGUCUACAUAGUUCUCGAACCCGUAGGCGCACGCUUAACGUUCAUUGACGAUAUAGUAUUAUAGGAGUUAUGUAUGUUGGUGACCGAAUGUUGUUCGAAGUCCCGGAUGAGAUCACGAACAUGAGAGGAGCUCCGGAAUGGUCCAGAAGUAAAGAUUCAUAUAUUGGAUGAUAUGGUUAGGCCAAGGGGUCAGGCCCACGGGGCGAUAAGUCGGUGCAAAAGGACUUUUGCGGAGGCCAGUGGGCCAAACGCCGGAGACCUUGGCGUCUGGCCCUGGGCCAGACGCCGAGGCCCAUGGCGUCUGGGCCAGACGCCAAGGAUUUUUCGUUUGGUCCUAGAGUCCGGGUGGGACUCUUGCCUAUCGGGCAAAACCGACUUUGAGGAGGCAUUUGCUCCAAGUUUCGACCCCAGGGCUCAACAUAUAAAUAGAGGGGCAGGACUAGCAUGAAGGAUACAUCAAGAAACACCAAACCGUGUGCCGGCAACCCCGUCCCCUCUAGUUUAUCCUCCGUCAUAGUUUCCUAGUGCUUAGUCGAAGCCCUGCGGAGAUUGUUCAUCACCAACACCAUCACCACGCCGUCGUGCUACCGGAACUCAUCUACUACUUCGCCUGUCUUGCUGGAUCAAGAAGGCGAGGACGUCAUCGAGCUGAACGUGUGCUGAACAUGGAGGUGUCGUACGUUCGGUACUUGAUCGGGACGGAUCGUGAAGGUGUACGACUACAUCAACCACGUUGAUAAACGCUUCCGCUUAGCGAAUCUUCAAGGGUAUGAAGAUACACUCCCCCUCUCAUUGCUAUGCAUCACAUAGAUAGAUCUUGCAUGAUUGUAGGAAUUUUUUUGAAAUUACCGCGUUCCCCAACACCUAGAUCUUUCCUCACCACAUGAUGCUUGCCAACAGAGAAAAAAUAAAAAGGAAUAAUGAGAAAAACUUUGACUCUUGCAUGAAAGUAAAUACAUAAAAGUAAAAGAUAGGCCCUUCGCAAGGGAAGCAGAGGUUGCCAUGCACUUUUUGGUUGUAUGCUAGCGCAAAAGAAUGUCACGUUAUAUUGCCCCUUGUGAUAGCAACCUUUAUUAUGCAGUUUGUCGCUUUUAUUCUUUGCCAUCACUAGUUCGUACAACACUCAAUUUUCUCCUACACUAAAUGAUCUAACACUUUCUAAAUAAAUUUGUAUUGCCUUAUUGCACUGAUGACAACUUACUUGAAGGAUCUUACUCAAUCCUUAGGCAGGUAUGGUGGACUCUUGAAAAUAAGAUUUGGGUUUAAGGGUUUUUGGAUGCACAAGUAGUAUCUCUACUUAGUGCGGAAUUUUUGGCUAGCAAAGAUGGGGGAAAAGCACCACAUGUUGAAGGAUCCAUGGCAAUAUAACUUCUAUGUGAAUAUGAACAAACAUAAAUCAUUACAUUGUCUUCCUUGUCCAACGUCAACAAUUUUGGCAUAUAAUAUUUUGAUGGGGGCUCACAAUCACAAAAGAUUUCCAAGAUAGUGUAUUUGCAUGUGAAUCUUCUCUUCCAUUAUUAAUUCUUUCAUGAAUUGCGUCAUUUACCAAUGCUAUGUUUGUCAAUCUCCAAUAAAUUUUUCUACUUAUACUUUUCCUUAUGUGAUGUCAUUACUUACCAUAAGAUUAGCAUAUUAUCCUUUUCACUUAUUUCCUUUCUUUAUAUUUAAACAAGAAAGUAAAGAUAGUAAAACUCAAACUAAACUUUAUUAUAUAUAUCGCACACGAUUACAAGGAUAGAUCACUAAGCAAACUUUCAAAAGAAAGGAUCGAACUAAACUUGUAUUUAUCUAAAGAAAAAGAUAGCUAUGGAUCGAACUAAGAUAAGUAAAGGCAAAAGAUAGUGGAGGUGAUAUGAUACCGGGGCACCUCCCCCAAGCUUGGCACAAGCCAAGGGGAGUGCCCAUACCCGAUACUCAAUUUUCUUUGGUUGAUGAAGAAGGAGGUGGUGGUGAUGAAGUGGUAGCGAUUGACAGCCCACAAGUAUAUGGGAUUGCAACAGUUUUUGAGGGUAGAGUAUUCAACCCAAAUUUAUAGAUUCAACAGUUUUUGUGGAUGUAGGUUUGCUAUAUCAUAUUGUGUGAUUUGCCAAUACAUUUAAUGUUUUGACCCUUUGUGGCUGCAACUUAUCAUGUUGUAGGAUUUUCAGAUGAUCAGUGAGAUACAGUAGGGUCGCGAGUCUUCACUCAACAUGUUCUCCAGUGGGCAUUGAUGGACUCAUCGUUUAUUAUGCUACCUUUUCGCUGUUAUUAUUGAAUAAGUUAGUCAUGCGCUAUUCAGUCUGUAAUACUUUAUAAAUUAUGGAUCAUACGUUAUAGUAAAUGAUGCACUAGUUAUUUGAUAUUCAUAUGUACUGUGUGUGCUAGCGAGUCAAUCCAGGGACUAGCACAAUGAGCACAGAGACAUCGAAUCUUAUUAGGUUCGGGUCAUUAUAGAUGGUAUCAGAGCAGUGUGUUGACUGUAGGUCGUGACCCUAGAAAAUGGAUUAGAAAAGCCAUAGGAGUGAUAAACUUUACAAGUUGUUGUAUACUUGUUAGUUCAUACUCUUGUACUCAUACCUUUACAUUUCAAAUAUAGAUGACCCCUGGAAUUAUAUUAGUGUUAUUUAAGGAGUUUAGUUGGCAGACCACCAUUCCUAAGUUGUGUUCGAUAAAUGAUUUGCGGUAGUAUGAUGAGAUCAUAUCUCUUGUGGAUAUGACCCUACCUGUAGGUUUUGCUUGUGUUGUGUGAUAUAUCAUAUGUUUGGUUGGUCAUUGCUUUUGUGUUGUCAUAUUUCGUGGAUUGUUUGUAUUAUGCAAUUGGGUGCUUUGGUUGAUCACAUGUGCUCUUUUGAUGUGAUUGCUUUAGGAUGGCUUUGGUGACUUGUGUGAAUUGUGUGAAUUUAGUGUUUGUUUUUGAUAUUGUUGGAGUUUUAGUUGCUUGCAUGAGCACAAGGGUAGUGUUUUCCCCCCGUAGACCUACUUCUGUCUACAUCUUACCCCUGCUUACCCAUUAGAUGCCACCGAGGCGUAACUCUAGAGGCAGUGGUUCAGGAGACAACAACAACAAUGACAUACCACUAUACAUGCAGCAGCUGCUUCAGGGACAGACUCAGUUGAUCCAGUUACUUGUUCAGAACCAGAACCAGAACAACAACAACAACAACAACAACAACAACAACAACAAUAAUCCACCACCACCCCCAGUUGAUGCACUUACUCAUUUCUUGAGGUUGAAUCCUCAGAGGUUUUCUAGCACCCCUGAACCUAUUGUGGCUGAUGAUUGGCUUCGCUCAGUUAAUAGGAAUUUGGAGACAAUUGGUUGCACUGAUGCAGAGAGAGUGAGGUUUGCCUCACAUUUGUUAGAAGGACCAGCUGCAACAUGGUGGGACAAUUACUUGGUCACUUAUCCUAUUGCUACUAUCACUUGGGAGCAGUUUCGGGCAGGUUUUUGCGCCGCACAUGUGUCUUCUGGUGCCAUGAGUCUGAAGAAGAUGGAGUUCCGCAGCUUGCGUUAGGGAGGUCGCACUGUGAAUGCAUAUGUGGAGGAAUUUAAUAAUCUUGCACGCUAUGCUCCUAACGAUGUUAGCACUAAUGCAGCUAGACAGGAGAAGUUUCUGGAAGGACUGGAUGAUGAGUUGAGUAUCCAGUUGACAGUGGCAACAUUCAACAACUUUCAGGAGCUUAUUGAUAAGGCUAUUGUACUUGAAGGAAAGUUUCAACGGGUGGAGAACCGCAACAGGAAGGCAAGGGACACAGAGUUCAACCCCGGAGGACCCCGGAAGCACCAUAAUUCGUCAGCAUCUUCUAAGUACUAUGAUUCUGGAGUGGACAUUUAUAAUGGUCAUAACCAUGAUGUGCAUAAUCACCACAACAACAAUGGACACAACCAUAAUGGUCAGAGGAAUGGCAACAACGACCACGACCUUUCGACACCCACAAAGAAGGAUCUAAGCCAGUUACUUUGUUACAGAUGCAAGAACCCAGGACACUAUUCAACAAACUGUCUUGAGCUAAAGAAAAUGAAUUAUGACAAUGGGGAUUCUGGAGAUAAGGAGAUAGGUCACUUCGAAAGUGGACAUGUGAAUCACAUGAGGGUAGGAAGACCAGAUAAUGCAUCAGUCUUUGGUAAGAUUCUUAAUUAAGAUCAAGUAUUGUGUCCGUUCUUUCAGCAUUGAUGCAUCAUAUUUAGUCGUGUCAAGGGAGAUUUGGAAAUAUGCAAUGAGUAAGCCUCGAAAGUUUUGAGUAUGGAUUAUAUCAAGUACACAGCUUUAAACUUUGCUAGCCAACUCGAAUCUUGAGGACGAGAUUCAUUUUAAGGGGGGUAGAUUUGUAACAUCCUAGAUUUUUAAAAUUUGGAAUGUUAAUAGGAUCAUUCUUUUUAUCAUGAUUUCUAUGCUUAUUUAAAUUUUCUGAAUAGUUAAAGUGUUUUCCAACUCAAGGCAAUAUAUUUGGAGUGGAGAUAAUACGACUUCUCCCCUAUUAGUUAUACUAGUUGACCCGUUGCGCCAAAUGGCGCAGAGACCCGCUAAAGCCAUAUUGUCGAUGAAAAUAGUUUCAAUUUGCAAGGACAUUUUCGAUAUUGGUAAUAGAAAGCCCAUGUGUUAAAUCAUGCUAUAUUGACAAUAUGUUUAUCACGCAAGCAUUGCCUGCAUGCAGAACAUAGGAUAGCUACAUUUGUGCUUUCUUCUCAGACUCAGGUAAUUCCCGUAGAAGCUUAUCGCAAGAUAUUUUGCUUAUCUGAAGCUUAACACGUUAAUGUUAUUUCUAGCAUGGUUCAGCUAGCCUUCUCUUUGUUAUAGAUUCGACCUGACCAAGCAUUUAAGCAAGGCACUUAUAUAAUAGAGCAACAUCACAACAGUUGAAGUUAUUAGGACAAGGUUCAAGUGUAGCUUAAAAUUUGAACAAGUUGUAGUUAUUAGGACAAGGUUCAAGUGUAGCUUAAAAUUCGAACAAGUUGUAGUUAUUAGGGCAAGGUUCAAGUGUAGCUUAAAAUCUGAACAAUUAACUUUACUUCUCUUUCUCUUGCUGAAAAUCACAAUAGUGCAUCUGUGCCUACUUAUUUUGUGAGCAUGGCCAUGUGCAUGCCUAAACCUGAGAUUGUCAUUCUUUCUUUUUUUUUUGCCUCUGCCUACACACCUAAAUCAAGCCCGUAAGUUAGCAUGUCAUUUAUUUAUAAAGCAACACCACAUCAGUCUAAUCUUCCAAGAGCAAGGGCCUAAAAUAUUCAGAGAUGCGCAAUUAAGAUCAUGCUGUCACAAAUGAAUGAUAUGAUACUAAAUCUAUAAAGUUUGUUAUCCAAUCAUUUCCCUUCCAUAAUGAUGUUGCCAGUUUAAUUGGGGAUUUACUUAUCUCCUCCCGUCCAAUGCGAGGCAACCAUAGCGGCAACGCAAGAGGGCCCCACGCCGAAGGGCUGCGCCACAACCAAGCCCCCAACACCGUCGCUCAGCCAACAUACACAUGAUGCACGUUUCUAAUUUUGCAUUUUUCUUCUCAGAUUGUGCCGCUCAAUCUGCAUUGAUGCACACCUUUGAGCAAACUAUGUUGCAACUUUAUCACUUUUCAUAGAAGGAAAAAGCUCAUGAUUUCUCAGACUCGCCCUCCACCACCGGUUGUUAUCCCUUGUCCUCUGUUGGCCCUCCGACGGCCACGAUCCGUCAUUUGGAGCGCUGGGAUCUCACAUCUCGCUUCAAUGCCGUCGAACUUGACCACUGCUCUUCCACCACGCAACACCGAGUCGGAGGCUGUGGCACUACACAACAGCGAUCCCGCGGCCGCGGUGCUGCCCAUGCGACAUCAGCACCUACGGCCAUGGCACUACCUCAAUGUGACAGUGUCCCGGCGGCCUUGGUUCUGCUAGCCAUUCGAAGCUUCUAUCCUGAAGCAGAAUGAG